UACGAAGGGGGCUAGCGUUGCUCGGAAUCACUGGGCGUAAAGGGUGCGUAGGCGGGUCUUUAAGUCAGGGGUGAAAUCCUGGAGCUCAACUCCAGAACUGCCUUUGAUACUGAAGAUCUUGAGUUCGGGAGAGGUGAGUGGAACUGCGAGUGUAGAGGUGAAAUUCGUAGAUAUUCGCAAGAACACCGAUGGCGAAGGCAGCCCCCUGG
This 209-nucleotide ribosomal RNA is filed under the name uncultured bacterium. RNAcentral's name for it is "partial 16S ribosomal RNA". It matches the Rfam family "Bacterial small subunit ribosomal RNA", at positions 524 to 732 of the family's 1533-position model. The record is from RNAcentral.